GCUGCUUCCCGGGGCUCCUCUUGCCCCGUUAGGACAAGAGAUGGUGAUAGCUCUCCAGGGCUGCUAGCCUCAGGGUUAGUGCAGUAUCUAUAAAUGAGCUUCUUAAGCCUCACCCUCAGCUUUGUGGGCAUGACAAUCCAUUCCAGUAUUCUUUGCCUGGAGAAUCCUAUGGACAGAGGAGCCUGGUAGGCUACAGUCCAGGGUCGCAUACAGGUGGACACAACUGAAGCGACUAAGCCGCAGAAGCAGCAGCGUACCCCUUAGCCACAUAAAAUGGUGAAGCUGA
Cervus elaphus (red deer) is the source of this 286-nucleotide long non-coding RNA. RefSeq lists it as uncharacterized. The record is from RefSeq and is a predicted model, not a curated record. The transcript has 2 exons. Lineage: Eukaryota; Metazoa; Chordata; Mammalia; Artiodactyla; Cervidae.